This 253-nucleotide ribosomal RNA is filed under the name uncultured bacterium. RNAcentral describes it as "partial 16S ribosomal RNA". It matches the Rfam family "Bacterial small subunit ribosomal RNA", at positions 524 to 776 of the family's 1533-position model. The record is from RNAcentral.
UACAGAGGGGGCAAGCGUUGUUCGGAAUUACUGGGCGUAAAGGGCGCGUAGGCGGCCCGCUAAGUCGAACGUGAAAUCCCCGAGCUCAACUCGGGAACUGCGUCCGAUACUGGCGGGCUUGAAUCCGGGAGAGGGAUGCGGAAUUCCAGGUGUAGCGGUAAAAUGCGUAGAUAUCUGGAGGAACACCGGUGGCGAAGGCGGCAUCCUGGACCGGCAUUGACGCUGAGGCGCGAAAGCCAGGGGAGCAAACGGG